Molecule: ribosomal RNA, 1437 nt
Filed under: Bacillus zhangzhouensis
Lineage: Bacteria; Bacillati; Bacillota; Bacilli; Caryophanales; Bacillaceae
Description: bacterial SSU rRNA
Rfam family: Bacterial small subunit ribosomal RNA
Source: RNAcentral
GUGCUAUAAUGCAAGUCGAGCGGACAGAAGGGAGCUUGCUCCCGGAUGUUAGCGGCGGACGGGUGAGUAACACGUGGGUAACCUGCCUGUAAGACUGGGAUAACUCCGGGAAACCGGAGCUAAUACCGGAUAGUUCCUUGAACCGCAUGGUUCAAGGAUGAAAGACGGUUUCGGCUGUCACUUACAGAUGGACCCGCGGCGCAUUAGCUAGUUGGUGGGGUAAUGGCUCACCAAGGCAACGAUGCGUAGCCGACCUGAGAGGGUGAUCGGCCACACUGGGACUGAGACACGGCCCAGACUCCUACGGGAGGCAGCAGUAGGGAAUCUUCCGCAAUGGACGAAAGUCUGACGGAGCAACGCCGCGUGAGUGAUGAAGGUUUUCGGAUCGUAAAGCUCUGUUGUUAGGGAAGAACAAGUGCGAGAGUAACUGCUCGCACCUUGACGGUACCUAACCAGAAAGCCACGGCUAACUACGUGCCAGCAGCCGCGGUAAUACGUAGGUGGCAAGCGUUGUCCGGAAUUAUUGGGCGUAAAGGGCUCGCAGGCGGUUUCUUAAGUCUGAUGUGAAAGCCCCCGGCUCAACCGGGGAGGGUCAUUGGAAACUGGGAAACUUGAGUGCAGAAGAGGAGAGUGGAAUUUCCACGUGUAGCGGUGAAAUGCGUAGAGAUGUGGAGGAACACCAGUGGCGAAGGCGACUCUCUGGUCUGUAACUGACGCUGAGGAGCGAAAGCGUGGGGAGCGAACAGGAUUAGAUACCCUGGUAGUCCACGCCGUAAACGAUGAGUGCUAAGUGUUAGGGGGUUUCCGCCCCUUAGUGCUGCAGCUAACGCAUUAAGCACUCCGCCUGGGGAGUACGGUCGCAAGACUGAAACUCAAAGGAAUUGACGGGGGCCCGCACAAGCGGUGGAGCAUGUGGUUUAAUUUCGAAGCAACGCGAAGAACCAUUACCAGGUCUUGACAUCCUCUGACAACCCUAGAGAUAGGGCUUUCCCUUCGGGGACAGAGUGACAGGUGGUGCAUGGUUGUCGUCAGCUCGUGUCGUGAGAUGUUGGGUUAAGUCCCGCAACGAGCGCAACCCUUGAUCUUAGUUGCCAGCAUUUAGUUGGGCACUCUAAGGUGACUGCCGGUGACAAACCGGAGGAAGGUGGGGAUGACGUCAAAUCAUCAUGCCCCUUAUGACCUGGGCUACACACGUGCUACAAUGGACAGAACAAAGGGCUGCGAGACCGCAAGGUUUAGCGAAUCCCAUAAAUCUGUUCUCAGUUCGGAUCGCAGUCUGCAACUCGACUGCGUGAAGCUGGAAUCGCUAGUAAUCGCGGAUCAGCAUGCCGCGGUGAAUACGUUCCCGGGCCUUGUACACACCGCCCGUCACACCACGAGAGUUUGCAACACCCGAAGUCGGUGAGGUAACCUUUAUGGAGCCAGCCGCCGAAGGUG